UAGGGAAUCUUCCGCAAUGGGCGAAAGCCUGACGGAGCAACGCCGCGUGAGUGAUGAAGGUCUUCGGAUCGUAAAACUCUGUUAUUAGGGAAGAACAAAUGUGUAAGUAACUAUGCACGUCUUGACGGUACCUAAUCAGAAAGCCACGGCUAACUACGUGCCAGCAGCCGCGGUAAUACGUAGGUGGCAAGCGUUAUCCGGAAUUAUUGGGCGUAAAGCGCGCGUAGGUGGUUUUUUAAGUCUGAUGCGAAAGCCCACGGCUCAACCGUGGAGGGUCAUUGGAAACUGGAAAACUUGAGUGCAGAAGAGGAAAGUGGAAUUCCAUGUGUAGCGGUGAAAUGCGCAGAGAUAUGGAGGAACACCAGUGGCGAAGACGACUUUCUGGUCUGUAACUGACGCUGAUGUGCGAAAGCGUGGGGAUCAAACAGG
Molecule: ribosomal RNA, 429 nt
Filed under: Actinomycetes bacterium
Lineage: Bacteria; Bacillati; Actinomycetota; Actinomycetes
Description: Actinobacteria bacterium partial 16S ribosomal RNA
Rfam family: Bacterial small subunit ribosomal RNA
Source: RNAcentral